GAACAAAGCCGACCUCCUCGCCCCGCCCCCUCCGUCCCGCCCGGGCUGCUCGCCCCGCCCCCGCGCGGCGCUGGGAGGCGGGAGCUGUCUCUGAGAACCUGCGGGAGAGCGCCCGGGCUUGCUGCUUCCCGGACCCGCGCGUCUCUCGAGCACCCUCGUCCCACCACCUUGUGAGGCCGUAGUGUUAUUUUUAUUUUUUAGAUCAGCAGACUGAGACUCGAGGUGACGUCACUCCGCAGAGAGGUUAGAGCACAGCAGACUGAGCCACCCAGAACUGGCCCCUCCGGUGGACCAGCCCCUGCGGAUUCACAGACCACUGGUCCUGGAAGGGACCUUGUCAAGCAGGCCCAUAAGACUUCAUUAUCAUGGUUGCCUGACCCAACACAACAUAUUUGGAGGAGGAGAGGGGACACUUUUAUUGUACCCCAUCACGUGGCUGAGUCAUUUGGCUCUCCAUUCACUGGAACAGACGACUAUGGACACCACCAUUGGGUUUCCCACCAAGGACAGAGUUCCAAAGCAACAGUGGCUUCCAUGGUUGGCUCACCCAGCCUGCCUGAGUCAUCAGCUAGGUCCACAGAGUAGAGAAGUGGGUAGUGCCCCCGCCUAACAUCUGGAAAAAUUCCCAAAAGUUGUGACUUCAUGACCACUGAGUCAGCAGCAACUCUUUUCUUGCCAAGAAUAGCACAUUGUUCUUUUCCUUUUCAGGUAAUCCCUCCCCGGAAAGAGAAGAUCACAGAUUUUGUCAUAUUAAAUACAUUGUAGAAAUUCAUGGUAGCAGGGGCAAGAUCAUUUAAACAAAACAGAAAGUUUCAGAGAGAGAAAAAGCCAAGGACAAAGAUUAAUCAUUUUUCUGCUUAAAAAAAAUGGCUUUGAUUUGCAACCAUGGAAUGCUCCACUGUUUCUCUUCUCUUCAAAGACAUCUACUGAAAGGAUUCCUUAACCUUACCAAGUGGCCAAAAUACUUUUCUGAGAAGAGUCACAGAGCAUAGGCCCCCCUAGGGUACACAGAGAUUUCAUUAGUCCCUAGAUGUUUCCUGAUCCUUUUAAAAACUGGUUAAAUUCAGAGACUCUAGGCAAUUACUUCUUUCAGAACCUGUGAGGCAAAAACGAAAGAAGAAGGCAGGACACGCAGUGUAACAAACCUUGGAAUGGACUUCGCCAGACUUCAUCAGAAGAAAGCAGUGCAAGAGGGGACUGCAGAGGAAAGCUGGGGCUUGGGAAACCAGCAGCAGGGGCCACGUGGGCAGGUGGUUUCUGUGUGAACCUCUGAUCUGUGCAACAUAAACAGGAAAUGUUGAAGGCUUCCAGUGCUCUUUUUUGAUGUCGAGAACAUUCUACGGCACAAAAGAGUUUGCCUCUCACUGUUUCUCAUAUAUGGAGGUUUUCUAAUCAGCAUCCUGAACAGAAUUGAAUUAAAAAUAAAAACCAAAGUAAAACUAGCUUUAUCUCUAGAUUUUAAAAUUUUCAUUUUUUUUAGGGUGGC
This 1486-nucleotide long non-coding RNA is filed under the name Homo sapiens (human). RNAcentral describes it as "HSALNT0317453". The record is from RNAcentral. Lineage: Eukaryota; Metazoa; Chordata; Mammalia; Primates; Hominidae.